AGUGAACGCUGGCGGUAGGCCUAACACAUGCAAGUCGAACGGCAGCACGGUAAGAGCUUGCUCUUACGGGUGGCGAGUGGCGGACGGGUGAGGAAUACAUCGGAAUCUACUUUUUCGUGGGGGAUAACGUAGGUAAACUUACGCUAAUACCGCAUACGACCUACGGGUGAAAGCAGGGGAUCUUCGGACCUUGCGCGAUUGAAUGAGCCGAUGUCGGAUUAGCUAGUUGGCGGGGUAAAGGCCCACCAAGGCGACGAUCCGUAGCUGGUCUGAGAGGAUGAUCAGCCACACUGGAACUGAGACACGGUCCAGACUCCUACGGGAGGCAGCAGUGGGGAAUAUUGGACAAUGGGCGCAAGCCUGAUCCAGCCAUACCGCGUGGGUGAAGAAGGCCUUCGGGUUGUAAAGCCCUUUUGUUGGGAAAGAAAAGCAGCAGGUUAAUACCCCGCUGUUCUGACGGUACCCAAAGAAUAAGCACCGGCUAACUUCGUG
Molecule: ribosomal RNA, 492 nt
Filed under: uncultured bacterium
Lineage: Bacteria
Description: partial 16S ribosomal RNA
Rfam family: Bacterial small subunit ribosomal RNA
Source: RNAcentral